UCAUAAAAGAUCAUGGUGGAUAGUGGAAGGGGGGUGAGAUUCCCCCGCUGCCCCGCAGCCGUGAAGGGAACGAAAGCCCGAGAUGCCACUCUCGCGAGGGAAUCGCGAGGGGAAGGCGGGCGAGUAGGCGGCCCCAAGCCGGAAAACCAAUCCACCGGAAGCAUUCCCG
This 169-nucleotide non-coding RNA is filed under the name Syntrophaceae bacterium. The record is from RNAcentral. Lineage: Bacteria; Pseudomonadati; Thermodesulfobacteriota; Syntrophia; Syntrophales; Syntrophaceae.